UGGGGGAGGAAGGCCUCAGGGUCGUAAACCCCUGUCAGGUGGGACGAACCACGGAUCGGUCAAUACCCGGUCCGUCUGACGGUACCACCAGAGGAAGCUCCGGCUAACUCCGUGCCAGCAGCCGCGGUAAUACGGAGGGAGCUAGCGUUGUUCGGAAUUACUGGGCGUAAAGGGCGCGUAGGCGGUCGGGUAAGUCGAGUGUGAAAUUCCGGGGCUCAACCCCGCGAACUGCAUUCGAUACUGCUCGACUAGAGAGAGGUAGGGGCGAGUGGAAUUCCCGGUGUAGCGGUGGAAUGCGUAGAUAUCGGGAAGAACACCGGUGGCGAAGGCGGCUCGCUGGGCCUUYUCUGACGCUGAAGCGCGAAAGCGUGGGGAGCAAACAGGAUUAGAUACCCUGGUAGUCCACGCCGUAAACGAUGGGUACUAGGUGUUGGGAGGAUUGACCCUCUCAGUGCCGACGUAACGCAUUAAGUACCCC
This 478-nucleotide ribosomal RNA is filed under the name uncultured Actinomycetes bacterium. RNAcentral describes it as "bacterial SSU rRNA". It matches the Rfam family "Bacterial small subunit ribosomal RNA", at positions 402 to 870 of the family's 1533-position model. Lineage: Bacteria; Bacillati; Actinomycetota; Actinomycetes. The record is from RNAcentral.